CUGCAGCCAAUUAAGCCGACCAGCUCCCUCUCACCAUGGAGGCCCGGUGUGCAGUGGCUGCAGCUGGCAGACCCCUUGGUAGUGCCAGUGGCCGGUGCUUAUACGCGUGGCCCUAAGGGGCCUCUGACACAGCC
RNAcentral lists this small nucleolar RNA (134 nucleotides) under Dasypus novemcinctus (nine-banded armadillo). Its description in RNAcentral is "Small nucleolar RNA SNORA70 (ENSDNOG00000040705.1)". It matches the Rfam family "Small nucleolar RNA SNORA70". From Rfam's summary of the family: snoRNA U70 seems to be exclusive to mammals and is a member of the H/ACA class of snoRNA which contain H (ANANNA) and ACA box motifs. Lineage: Eukaryota; Metazoa; Chordata; Mammalia; Cingulata; Dasypodidae. The record is from RNAcentral.